Oreochromis aureus is the source of this 2019-nucleotide long non-coding RNA. RefSeq lists it as uncharacterized. The record is from RefSeq and is a predicted model, not a curated record. The transcript is spliced from 3 exons. Lineage: Eukaryota; Metazoa; Chordata; Actinopteri; Cichliformes; Cichlidae.
UACCGUUUUUGCAAUGGUAAUCCCUUACAUUACUCGUUACUUGAAAAAAGUAAUCGGAUUACUUACUGCCCAUCUCUGCACCUAGUGGCAAUUUGGAUUAUCCAAUUAACCUAUCCCCACAAAUUGUAUGUCUUUGGACAGUCAGUCAUAAAUAUCAUUUGUUUUAAACAUUUUGUAUUAUUAUUUCCUGCAGUCAGAAGAAUUGCAUUUUACAACAGUGUGGCACUGGACAAUGUUGUUGCUCCUUUUGACUGAUACUCGUGCUUGGAGAAACUCACACAGCAUCUAUCUGGAAAGAUGGCAACAUCAUGGAGUCAAAAGUUUUCGGUGUCACAGAGAGCUUAAAACCAAAAACUCCAACAAUCAAAUCAGUCACUGAAUCCGAAGGGAAUUUUGAAGUCAAGUGGACGUCAAACAUGGUGGGAUUUAUAAACAAUUACAUGACUGCUCAGAUGACUUACUAUAAAAAAGGAGAAACCAAAAAAGUAGGAACAAUGCCACAGUAACUAUUUGUUCUGGAGAUGUAAACAUGGGCAGCUGUUAAACUCAUUUUUGUACCUCCAUACUAGACAUCUGAAAUUUUCAAACCAGUUACCACAGCUGAUGGACUAAAUUACUAUGAAGGUCAAGACCUGGAUCCCAGUUCAACAUAUGUGGUCAGCGUGAAAAGCUUCUUUAGUCUGAGUGGCAAGUUCAGUGACAGUAGCAAAGAGUGGGAAUUUCAAACUGGUUUGAUGGCCCCUGCCGGGGAAAGGCUCAUCAGUGCCAUCAGUGUCAUCUGAGAAGUCCUCGGCUCUCUGUUCCCCGAUUAUAUAGCUGUGGCUGGCACGUCGUUCUGCCUCUCAUGCACCUGCCCGCCUGCCACCAUGCCAUGCUUCAACUUACUUUCUUUAUGUUGUCUAAGCACUUGCAAUAUCCAUACUCACCUAAUGCUAAAGGAAAGUCAAAGUGUGUCACACUCACUCAUUCGAUGAAUCGCUGCUUCAUGUUUAAUGUGAAAGAAUCACCUUAAAAAUAUUUGCACAGAAGAGCAAAGCAAACACAGACUUGCACCUUAUAAUCACUAAUUUUCAUCUUUCAUCAACUGUCAAAUUUACAGAAUAACUAGCUGUUGUUGUUUCUUGUCUUGUCAUGUGCCAUGCAGAGCUGUUAUGACAGAAGCAUCUUUGAAAAUUAAGCUGUCUGUGUAGUGUAAAAUUACACAAGCUAAGCUAAAAUCAUAUAAAAAGCAUCUGAUUUUAUUUGAAAUAAACAAAACCACUUCCUAAAAUGUAAAUGUUUAGGACAAAUACAGUAAGAUUAUGCUAACACUUUUUCAUAAACAUAUUGCUUAAUCCAGUGUACCGUGAAUCAUUACAUUUUUAGAAAAUGGAAGAUGCUCCUCUGUCACAGUGGUGCCUGCUAACACUUUGUAAUCUGAGAUAAAUGCAAAAUCACAGUUUGCAGGGUUGCUGUCAGGGUUCUGGGUAUGUGAACAGGUGUUUUGAUUUUGUAUUAUUAUUUUUUAUUAGUCUGUGGUUUCUUCUUGGUUCGUGUUUACUAGUGUUUUGGUUUCUGUUUUGUAUUUCUAGUUCGUAGGUUUUGGAUUCCUUUGCUCCUCAUGUCACUCUGGUCCCUGUACUCUGUGCUCUCUCUGUUUCGUGUCUCUGAGUCUGUGUCUGUAAGUUCAGUCUGUGUAUUUCCUGUUUUAUUUUAAAGGUCCAUGUCUGGUGUCACUGUAUUCAGUUUUCCGCCCUCCCUGUUUCGUCAUGUUAAUUAGGUUCAGCCGUGUCUCCCUCAUGUUUGCCAUUCCUUGUUUCCCUCCGUGUAUAGAUAAGUGUGUGUUUGCCUUUGCUCGUUGUCGGUCCGUCUGCUCAUCAUCCUGUGUUUCUCCCUGCAUGUUAUGCAUGUUAUGGUUUCAGGUUUGUUCACUAGUUCACUAGUUUUCCCAGUUCAGGUUAUUUCUUAGUUCUGUCCUCGCCAUCCUCGCUUUUGCUUGUUUUCACCUCCUGUUAAUAAAGCUCAAUUGCAUCAAAGACA